GUUUAAGGCCAUACCACGUUGAAAAUACCAGUUCUUGUACAAUCACCGAAGUCAAGCAGCAUCGGGCCCGGUUAGUACUUGGGAUGGAGACGACCUGGGAAUACUGGGUGCUGCUGUCACUUU
RNAcentral lists this ribosomal RNA (123 nucleotides) under Olivierus martensii (Chinese scorpion). Lineage: Eukaryota; Metazoa; Arthropoda; Arachnida; Scorpiones; Buthidae. The record is from RNAcentral.